AAAAAACUUCGGAAGGUUGUUACAGUUGGUGUAGUUGGAGGAUCUGAUCUUGUUAAGAUAUCAGAACAGCUAGGAAAAUCAGUGAUCACAGACUACGAUUAUGUAUUUGCCGAAAAUGGUCUUGUUGCUUACAAGAAUGACU
Molecule: long non-coding RNA, 142 nt
Organism: Asparagus officinalis (garden asparagus)
Lineage: Eukaryota; Viridiplantae; Streptophyta; Magnoliopsida; Asparagales; Asparagaceae
Exons: 3
Source: RefSeq, a predicted model, not a curated record